UGCCCCGUGGUGUAGUGGUAGCACGUCAGCCUUUGGAGCUGAAAUCCCUGGUUCGAACCCAGGCGGGGCAGCCA
This 74-nucleotide transfer RNA is filed under the name Dehalococcoidia bacterium. Its description in RNAcentral is "tRNA-Gln". It matches the Rfam family "tRNA". Rfam says of the family: Transfer RNA (tRNA) molecules are approximately 80 nucleotides in length. Their secondary structure includes four short double-helical elements and three loops (D, anti-codon, and T loops). Lineage: Bacteria; Bacillati; Chloroflexota; Dehalococcoidia. The record is from RNAcentral.